UCCCAGUUAACUCAGUCGGUAGAGCGCUCCAUUGUAAAUGGAGAUGUCCCUGGUUGGAUACCAGGUCCGGGAG
Molecule: non-coding RNA, 73 nt
Organism: Ixodes scapularis (black-legged tick)
Lineage: Eukaryota; Metazoa; Arthropoda; Arachnida; Ixodida; Ixodidae
Source: Rfam